AAAAGAUAUCUAUUUUUUUAGAUAUUGCGAAUAUAGCAAAUUUAGUGAUAUUUGAUAUAGGUAAGAUCGGUUAAAAAUAAAAAAAUACUUUAAAAAAGAUUUAUUAUUUAUUAUUUUUUAAAUUAUUUGCCAUCCAUAUAACGAGAAAAAAAGCCCACGGUAAGCCCAUGGUUGUAUUUUUGUAAAUUACAGUUUUGCCCUUGUGGUUUCUAAAUUUCGCAAGACGUCUUCUUCAUCUCAUGCGACACUUCUCGUUCUUCAUAUUCCUCACGGGCGGCGGGUUGCAUCGGGAGUCAGUCACGGGCAGUAGGUUUUGACGGUGGCAUAUCCUUCUUCAUCCUACUCACGGCGGCAACGACAAUGAAUAUGAGUUCUGAUAGAAUUGAAUAAAAAGAAGAAUUGCAAAAGAAGAGGCGGAGAAGAAAAUCUGUUGUCGCUGCCUCCGCCCAAACCUAUCGUCCGAUGCAACUCACUGGCCAUGAGGAAUAUGAAGAAGGAGAAGUGCGUGAGAUGAAGAAGAAGACGUCCUUCAAAAUUCAAAAACCAGCAUGUCUAACUUUGUAAUUUAUGAAAAUUCUAACGCCGUAAUUUAUAAAAUGGAAAAUUGUAAGAAAUAGAGGAUAUUUAGUUUCCAUAAAAGUGCAAUAAAUUUUGGGCUUAUGGCUCUUCCUCUUC
Cucumis sativus (cucumber) is the source of this 675-nucleotide long non-coding RNA. RefSeq lists it as uncharacterized. The record is from RefSeq and is a predicted model, not a curated record. NCBI's taxonomy places the organism in Eukaryota, Viridiplantae, Streptophyta, Magnoliopsida, Cucurbitales, Cucurbitaceae. The transcript has 2 exons.